UUCACAUUUUUAUAUCAAACCUACAUGUUUCAGCUGUUUUUUCUUCCUCUACCUGAAAAAACCCUAGCAGCCAUGGAAAACCAGCAGCCAUACACUCUCCAAUUUUCCAAUUCCAGAUUCCUCAAUCCCUUCUUCUCUAGGGUUUACUUUUUUCUUCUUCCUGCAACCUUCCUCGAUGGUUUCCUCGAUUCCAUCCUCUCUUCCAUAGCCGUCGAACUCACCACCUCCAUUUCUUCUCCAAACUACCGUCGAACUCACCACUCCUCUCCUCUGUUCAAAAUCGCGGGCUUCCCUUUCCAUCAUCUCCAUUCCUUGACACCUCUUGUUUCCUAGCCUGACACCGUUCAUCAUCUCCAUCCCAUCGUCCAUCUCCAACUCCAUAACUACUUUACCUUCCUCAACCAAUUCCAGAAUGGGACGCCUUUGAUGCAUACAGUCUUCACCUCUGGAAAAUUGGAAAAAGGCCUUGUGCUGUUGAAGUGCCAUUCUUCUGAACCUGGAUCCUCUCCUUUCUCAUAUAUUCGGCCGGAGAAGAGGUUGCUCUACAAAGGCCAAGUAUCAUGACACUGAAGGAGCUGAAAUGAAACCAAGAAGAAGGAGAAGUGAUGUUGCACAAUCCGGAAGGGUUGAGAUUGAGAACCUUGGUCAUAUUGAGAUUCUUAUUUGUGCUCAAAUUUGUUAUAUACUACUUGUUACAAUUCUUUUCUCCUUGAUGAAUUGGAAAACCCCCUUUUAGUUAACAUGGUUAUUUUACUAAUUUGAUUGGUUAGUCCUUUUUUUCCCCUUCCUGUUUUCUGUUUUCAUUUUUUCUUUCUCUUAUGGGUCAACCAGUUACAAAAGGACCCUCUGUUAGUCAUUAUACCAAGCUGUUAUUUUCCUGAUAGGUUUAUAGGCUUAUAGUGCUAUAGCGUGGCAAAUGCAUAGUUGGUGCUAACUUCUGUUUUAAUAUUUUUUGCCGUCACUCCAAUCUCAUUUCUGUCGAUGAAUCUAUUAUAAUGUCAAAUUGGUCGUGUUUUAUACUUAACAGCUUGUCUGAUAUUUCAGUUGAUAUAUGCUCAUUACAAAUGCAUCAUCUUUGUACAGCUAGUUUAGAUCUGGUUCACUUGCCAAUAUACUUCUGAUUCUAAUGAGGUGGUCAUCAUGGCAGGUUUCUUGUAGCUUUCUCUGGGAAGUAUCUGAAGUAUGAUUACUGUGUUCCUUCUCCACAUAACUGGUCUGAAGACAAUAUUUCGUGUGUUUAUGACCUCAAACAGAAGAAUGUCUCUUUGGGCCUGCAUUUAUUGAGUGACAUUUUAUGUAAAUUUGGUGGAUGUUUUAGCUGUGAUCCUUCAAUUUACAUGGGUUGCAGCUUAUUGGUUUAGCACUUCCCCUGGCUGUUAAAACACCAAGUAUAUUUUGAUGAGGUUUUUAAAAGAGAAUGAAUAUGACCUAACAAUAGCACUUCCGAUGAGGCCACCCUAGUGGAAGGUGUAUCCUUUUGGUCUUUUCAAUUUCAUGUCAAUCUUGAUAUCCAUUUUUUCUCCUUCAUUGUUCAAUAAAUUCAGGCUCCAUUUCGAUUUGAUCAGUGGAAUAUUAUUUACUUCUACAGGAUUGAUUUUAUGAUGUGUGUGAGAGUAAUGGCGGGUGAUUAUAUCCUUUCUUAACUUGGCCUCGCCGCGAUGGUCCGUGAUCUCGAUUUGAUAACACUGGUGAUUAUAUCCUUUCUUAACUUGGCUUUGAAGGGGGAUAUUGCCCUGUUUAACCUACACUUCCAUUAAUGCCUAGAAAGUUCUACUAGAAAGUCAAUCUUAUUGAUUUCAUAAAUGUUAAAUAUAGGGAGUUUGUUCUUGGGUUAAUACUUAUAUCUCCUUUAUGCAAAUCUCAUUCAUGGAGUGAAUGUUUUUUCAACAAGGUUUCUUUCAAAUCCCCACAUACUACAUUUAAGAUUUGUCCAAUUGCUUCUAAUUUUAAGUGAUGACAAAUUUGUUAUAUUACUAUGGUUUAUAUGGCUUGUCUAAUUUUAAGGAGUGUUUGCUCCAGAGAUACUUUAGAAAUGUAUUAUAGUGCAAGGUUCUUAACCCUCGUGUAUUUAAUAUGUUGAGUUUUUCUUGGUAACCAAAUAAUAUGUUGGUUUAACCAUCAAGCUGUAUUGAAUUAACCAUUGAAAAUCAGA
Lotus japonicus is the source of this 2152-nucleotide long non-coding RNA. RefSeq lists it as uncharacterized. The transcript has 3 exons. Lineage: Eukaryota; Viridiplantae; Streptophyta; Magnoliopsida; Fabales; Fabaceae. The record is from RefSeq and is a predicted model, not a curated record.